AUUUUUUUUCAGAGAGAUGGCGCGUCGGUCAUGAAGAUAGGGAAAAAUCAGGCCGCGAAGUUGUUUUCAAGGCGGGGCUUUGUGCGUCGCCUGGCAACGGACUGGUUUUUCCACAGGCCGUGUGAGGUUGUCAACAUGGUCUCACUACAUAUGUAUUAAGGUCAUGCAAAACCAUUCGUCAGCCACAUUUACAGGACAAUCAUUAACGCACAUUUUGUGGUACAAAACAGAUUUUCUGUUUCGACAGUCUCAUGAGAUCUCGUGGCACGACUUUGAAUGGAUGGAAAUGGAGUCAUGCAUGCCAAAUUUUAUUUCCCUAACUUGUAAAAUGAUGAAACACCACACGAAAAAUGAGUUCCGUCUC
Long non-coding RNA from Daphnia magna, 364 nucleotides. RefSeq lists it as uncharacterized. The transcript is spliced from 3 exons. The record is from RefSeq and is a predicted model, not a curated record. NCBI's taxonomy places the organism in Eukaryota, Metazoa, Arthropoda, Branchiopoda, Diplostraca, Daphniidae.